RNAcentral lists this ribosomal RNA (490 nucleotides) under uncultured marine bacterium. RNAcentral describes it as "bacterial SSU rRNA". It matches the Rfam family "Bacterial small subunit ribosomal RNA", at positions 8 to 496 of the family's 1533-position model. The record is from RNAcentral.
AGAGUUUGAUCNUGGCUCAGGAUGAACGCUAGCGGCAGGCCUAAUACAUGCAAGUCGAACGGGAUUCUAGACUUCGGUUUAGAUGAGAGUGGCGCACGGGUGCGUAACGCGUAUGCAACCUACCUUUUACAGGGGGAUAGCUCGGGGAAACUCGAAUUAAUACCCCAUGGUAUCAUAAGAUCGCAUGGUUUAAUGAUUAAAGAUUUAUCGGUAAAAGAUGGGCAUGCGUCUGAUUAGCUAGAUGGCGGGGUAACGGCCCACCAUGGCAAUGAUCAGUAGGGGUUCUGAGAGGAUGAUCCCCCACACUGGUACUGAGACACGGACCAGACUCCUACGGGAGGCAGCAGUAGGGAAUAUUGGACAAUGGGCGAGAGCCUGAUCCAGCCAUGCCGCGUGUAGGAUGACGGCCUUCUGGGUUGUAAACUACUUUUCUACAGGAAGAAAAAGUCCAUGCGUGGACAAUUGACGGUACUGUAGGAAUAAGCUCCGG